GGCCGAGUAGGUGGCAAGCUGUAGACUUGUUUACGGGGACCAGCCCCCCCCACCAA
This 56-nucleotide transfer RNA is filed under the name Cyrtodactylus brevipalmatus. RNAcentral's name for it is "partial tRNA-Tyr". Lineage: Eukaryota; Metazoa; Chordata; Lepidosauria; Squamata; Gekkonidae. The record is from RNAcentral.